UAUUACCGAUCCCACCAAUUGCCCUAUCCCUGGACACGGUCCGAAAGCUAUCGCGUCCGGAUCUCCCGAUGU
This 72-nucleotide small RNA is filed under the name Pseudomonas moraviensis. RNAcentral describes it as "Pseudomonas sRNA P10". It matches the Rfam family "Pseudomonas sRNA P10". Lineage: Bacteria; Pseudomonadati; Pseudomonadota; Gammaproteobacteria; Pseudomonadales; Pseudomonadaceae. The record is from RNAcentral.